AUUCCAGCUCCAAUAGCGUAUAUUAAAGUUGUUGCAGUUAAAAAGCUCGUAGUUGGAUUUCUGGGCUGAGCGACCGGUCCGCCGCUGUGCGGUGUGUACUCGUGUUCGACUCGGCUCAUCCUUGUGGGGAAACGCAUUUCGGCAUUAGGUUGUCGAGGCGGGGAACCGCAUCGUUUACUGUGAAAAAAUUAGAGUGUUUAAAGCAGGCAAAUUGCUGUGAAUACAUUAGCAUGGAAUGAUAACAUAGGACUUUGGUUCUAUUUUGUUGGUUGGAGGCCAAGGUAAUGAUUAAUAGGGAUAGUUGGGGGUAUUCAUAUUUAAUUGUCAGAGGUGAAAUUCUUGGAUUUAUGAAAGAUGAACUCAUGCGAAAGCAUUUACCAAGGAUGUUUUCAUUA
This 395-nucleotide ribosomal RNA is filed under the name Stramenopiles sp. MAST-3D. RNAcentral describes it as "partial small subunit ribosomal RNA". It matches the Rfam family "Eukaryotic small subunit ribosomal RNA", at positions 582 to 975 of the family's 1831-position model. The record is from RNAcentral.